CCUACGGGAGGCAGCAGUAGGGAAUUUUCCACAAUGGGGGCAACCCUGACGCAGCAACGCCGCGUGAGUGAGGAAGGUCUUCGGAUUGUAAAACUCUUUUAUUUGGGAAAAAUGUCUUUGUGGCUAAUAUCCAUAGAGAGUGAUGGUACCAAAGGAAUAAGGACCGGCUAACUUCGUGCCAGCAGCCGCGGUAAU
RNAcentral lists this ribosomal RNA (195 nucleotides) under uncultured bacterium. RNAcentral's name for it is "partial 16S ribosomal RNA". It matches the Rfam family "Bacterial small subunit ribosomal RNA", at positions 338 to 524 of the family's 1533-position model. The record is from RNAcentral.